RNAcentral lists this long non-coding RNA (3068 nucleotides) under Sus scrofa (pig). RNAcentral's name for it is "lncRNA (ENSSSCG00030044162.1)". The record is from RNAcentral. Lineage: Eukaryota; Metazoa; Chordata; Mammalia; Artiodactyla; Suidae.
GCUCCUGGUUCUGCCACUUCCCCACCCACCCUCAAUACCCCCUACUCCCCUCUCCCAGACUAGCUACCUGCUGCUAAGACUCUAGACCAGACUGUCAUUGCUGUGAGUCCCAAUUGUUCCUGCCCCUCCUGUCAAAGUCACAAAGACCCUAGUAGAGGCAUGAGAUAGGCCUGAGCUCAGAUUCCAGGGCCCCCUCUCUCGUCCCUCUACCCUUACUCUGCCCACACCCAUGCUGUGUGGGAAGCAGGGAGAGAAAAAACCCUCACCACCGCUCUCCUCCGCCCUACCCAGGCGGAAUCCCACCUGCACUGAGACUCAUAUGGUAGGGAAUUCCCUCUGAAAUGGAGUGCUCAGACACUGGACAAUCAAACACAUGACAAAUGUCCACUUCACUGUCUCCCUGUCUGCCUCAUCAAUGCCUGCUCAUUCCUAAAACGUCACUUCUAUAAAACCUUCCUCCAACCUAGGUGGGCUCAGGGGCUCCCUCCAUGUUCCCACGGCACCUGGUACCUGCCUCUACCAAAGCUUUCUUACUUUAUUCAGUUUGCAGAUUUGUCUUCCUCUGCAGACCGCGAGUUCCUUGGGGGUCUCUGAGCAGGGCACACGCAUCCAUGACUCCUUGACUGUACCCACUGGGUGGCAUUAGUGGGAGCUCAGAAAUUGACAAGUCAAUGACUAAAUGAAUAUAUACCCUGAGGCUCCCCACAUGGGAGCAGAUCGGCUUCUAACACAGUGAACACCUGGAUGCACGCGAUGAAGGGAUACUUACUAUAGAGAUGGGGUGCCCAGGAGAACUGAGGAGCAAAGCUAGGUUCCUAUGCUUACAGCUAUUAGAGAAGAUAACCUGUUAGCAAGUGACCUUCUUCCCUAAAGGGCUGUGAAGGUACAUUUUCCAAAAGACACUCCAGAGAGGGGCCUGGGAGGAUGUGCGUUCCACUGUAAGCAUGAAGUCUUGGUUGCUAUAAAUCCGGAAUUGUGUGGGCUGAGAUGAAAAUGCUUUACAGUCAUUAGGCCCCAUUGUGAAGGUAAUUAUAUAAAGUCCUACUGCUGACACCUGGGCCAGGAGUGGGCUGGAACUGCCCUGAGUGGCCCCCACAGGGAAGAAGAGUGGGAGAAAAGCAUCUGGAAAGAUUUGAGAGGGGAGCAAGAGCCACUGGAAAUAGAAGAGAAGAAGCAGGAGAACAGAGGAAAGCAGCAGCAGAAGGAGCACGCAGGAGGAAAGCCUGAGGAUACGGACAGAGGUGGAAGGUGGAGCAGGGGCUGGGGCCAUGUGCUGGAUGAUACAUACUGACAGAGAAAAAGGCGGCCUGUGAUGACGCAUGCUGCCGCCUGGAGAAGGGAGCAGAGAGGCGGGUGAGGCCACAGUGAAUACCCACCUCAGGUGAGCAAACACUAACUAGUGCCCACUAUGCUCCAGGCACUGUGCUAAGGGAAGCAAAAGAUUUCUGGAGGAUAGAAAGGGAUAGAACUGUUGACAAACACAUGCCAACCCCUUACCUGCCGGGGUUUAGAGAGCAGUGAGGGAGAUGAACACAAAAGCCAAGAUUUUAAAAAUCAGUAGAUGGGUAGAUACACAUAAGAAAAAGAUUGCAGCCGGAGUUGCUGUCGUGGCUCAGUGGUUAAUGAAUCUGACCAGGAACCAUGAGGUUGUGGGUUCGAUCCCUGGCCUCACUCAGUGGGUUAAGGAUCCAGCGUUGCCGUGAGCUGUGGGGUAGGCCGGUGGCUACAGCUCCGAUUGGACCCCUGGCCUGUGAACCUCCAUAUGCCAAGGGUGCGGCCCUAAAAAGUCAAAAGACAAGACAAAAAAAAAAAAAAAGAAGAAGAAGAAGCGGGGCAUUGAACCUGAAGGGAGAGAUGGUGGCUGGAAAUAUGUGGGCUUCAUUGGCAGAGAGACAAUAGUGCUAAUGGAUGAAAGGGGAUGAGCUCUUCCCACGAAAAUGCACACGGCCAAGCAGUGGGCCCAGGCUGGACCCCUGAGAAACUCUACUGUUUAAGGGUGCGGGAAAGGUGGGCCCUAAGGGGGAUGCAAAAGGGAAAUCAGAGAAGUAGAAGGAGAAACAGAGGAGAUUUAGGCCAAGGAACACAACCCUUCAGUAAGGGAUGGGACAGCAGGGCCGGAAGCAGGAGAUAGGUCCAGAAGGUAAAGACUGAAAAGUGGCCCCUGGAGUUUGCAGAAUGGAGGGAACGGAUGAUCUUUUCACACACAUGUGUUUUGUGGGGCAAGAUGGAAGCUGGUGAGGCAAAGAGCAUAAGAGUUCCUAUACUAUUCUUUUUUUUUUUUUUAAUUGAAGUACAGUUUAAUUCCUUUACUCUUUUUUUUUGGCCACACCCACUGCAUGUGGAUGUUCCCAGGCCAGGGACUGAACCUGUGCCACAACAGUGACAAUGCCAGAUCUUUAACCACUGCACCACCAGGGAACUCCCUGAAUUCCUUUAUUCUUCUUACAACUUACAUCUUUGUUUGAAAUUGCAUCAAAAUAAAAAGCUUGCUUAAAAAAAAAAAAGGAUUUUUUAAAAAUAAUAAUGCGGUUCAAUGCAAAGAUCAAACAAUUCUAAAAGGUAUAAAACAGAAAAUGAAAAUCCUGCCUUCUCCCUAUUUGUAUCCAAAUCCCACCCCUCAGUGGUAAGUUUACCAUUGUUGGUAGUUCGAUGGUUUCCUCCUAGAUCUGUUUUGUUUAUGUAUUUGUUGUUACAAAAAUAGAAUCAUACUAUACAUCCUGUUUUGCAAAUACGUCACAGGCAUUUUGUCAUGACAAAAUAUUUCACUUUCAUUCUUCAAUACUGUACAUUUUUCUAUUGUAUGGAUACACAAAAAUUCAUUAUUAAUUUUGAAAUUUAAAAACUCAAAAGUUGGAGUUCCCUUCAUGGCUCUGUGGAAAUGAAUCUGACUAGCAUCCAUGAGGAUGCAGGUUCAAUCCCUGGCCUCGAUCAUGGGUUAAGGAUCCAGCAUUGCCGUGAGCUGUAGAGUAGGUCACAGGUGCGGCUUGGAUCCUGCGUUGCUGUGGCUCUAGCAUAGGCCGGCGGCUACAGCUCUGAUCAGACCCCUAGCCUGGGAACUUCCAUAUGCC